RNAcentral lists this ribosomal RNA (500 nucleotides) under uncultured bacterium. RNAcentral describes it as "partial 16S ribosomal RNA". It matches the Rfam family "Bacterial small subunit ribosomal RNA", at positions 30 to 523 of the family's 1533-position model. The record is from RNAcentral.
AUUGAACGCUGGCGGAAUGCUUUACUCAUGCAAGUCGAACGGCAGCACGGACUUCGGUCUGGUGGCGAGUGGCGAACGGGUGAGUAAUGUAUCGGAACGUGCCCAGUCGUGGGGGAUAACGUAGUGAAAAUUACGCUAAUACCGCAUACGAUCUAUGGAUGAAAGCGGGGGAUCGCAAGACCUCGCGCGAUUGGAGCGGCCGAUAUCAGAUUAGGUAGUUGGUGGGGUAAAGGCCCACCAAUCCAACGAUCUGUAGCUGGUCUGAGAGGACGACCAGCCACACUGGAACUGAGACACUGUCCAGACUCCUACGGGAGGCAGCAGUGGGGAAUUUUGGACAAUGGGCGAAAGCCUGAUCCAGCCAUUCCGCGUGCAGGAUGAAGGCACUCGGGUUGUAAACUGCUUUUGUACAGAACGAAAAUGUUUCUACUAAUACUAGAAGCUCAUGACGGUACUGUAAGAAUAAGCACCGGCUAACUACGUGCCAGCCGCCGCGGUAA